GGCUGCGCGCUUCCCUGAUCGUGCGGGGCCCGAGCCUCUCCGCCGGCGCAGGCUCCCUCGCGCCAGCUCGCGGCCGGCGCCAUGUCGGCCGCCAUCGAGCGGGAGUUUGAUGAGUUGGACGCUCAGAAUCGCUGGCAGCAGCUGUACCUGGAAAUUCGCAGUGAGUCCCAUGACUAUCCUCAUAGAGUGGCCAAGUUUCCAGAAAACAGAAAUCGAAACAGAUACAGAGAUGUAAGCCCAUAUGAUCACAGUCGUGUUAAACUGCAAAAUGCUGAAAAUGAUUAUAUUAAUGCCAGCUUAGUUGACAUAGAAGAGGCGCAGAGGAGUUACAUCUUAACACAGGGUCCACUUCCUAAUACAGGUUGUCAUUUCUGGCUCAUGGUUUGGCAGCAAAAGACCAAAGCAGUUGUCAUGCUAAACCGAAUUGUGGAGAAAGAAUCGGUUAAAUGUGCACAGUACUGGCCAACAAAGGAUGACCGAGAGAUGCUGUUUAAGGAAACAGGCUUCAGUGUGAAGUUCCUGUCGGAAGAUGUGAAGUCCUAUUAUACAGUCCAUCUGCUGCAGUUAGGAAACACCAAUAGUGGUGAAACCAGAACAAUAUCUCACUUUCAUUAUACUACCUGGCCAGAUUUCGGAGUCCCUGAAUCACCAGCUUCAUUUCUCAAUUUCUUAUUUAAAGUGCGAGAGUCUGGCUCUUUGAAUCCUGAACACGGGCCUGCGGUGAUCCACUGUAGUGCCGGCAUCGGGCGGUCAGGCACCUUUUCUCUGGUGGACACUUGUCUUGUUCUGAUGGAAAAAGGAGACAAUAUUAAUAUUAAACAACUGUUACUGAAUAUGAGAAAAUACCGAAUGGGGCUGAUUCAGACACCAGAUCAACUCAGAUUUUCAUACAUGACUAUAAUAGAAGGAGCAAAGUUUAUAAAGGGAGAUUCAAGUAUACAGAAACGGUGGAAAGAACUUUCUAAGGAAGAUGUAUGUCCUGUUUUCGAUCAUUCAACAACCAAAAUAAUGACUGAAAAAUACAAUGGGAACAGGAUAGGCCUAGAAGAAGAAAAACUGACAAGUGACAGGUAUACAGGACUGUCCUCUAAAAUUCAAGAUACUCUGGAGGAAAACAGCGAGAGUGCUCUGCGCAAGCGCCUUCGGGAAGACAGGAAAGCCAGCACAGCUCAGAAGGUGCAGCAGAUGAAGCAGAGGCUGAACGAGACCGAACGAAAAAGGAAAAGGUGGUUAUAUUGGCAACCUAUUCUCACUAAGAUGGGGUUUGUGUCCGUCAUUUUGGUUGGCGCUUUUGUUGGCUGGACACUGUUUUUUCAGCAAAAUGCCCUAUAAAUAAUUAAUUUUGCCCCGCAAGCUUCGGCACUGGUAGCUGACAGUGUUGCAUGAAUCACAGGGGUUCAUCUGUUAGCAAACUCCUCAGACGCCAGACGGUGCAGUUGACUAGACACCCACAGAGAAUUGGGGUGUGCAGUCCCCUCAGCACCCCAAGGCGCUGCCCACACUGUACCCGCUCCCUAAAAUAAAGACUUGAAUGCUUCUUAAGAACUGGUACAUUUUCAACUGUAUUCAUACAUGUUAAGUGUAAUAUUUCACCUGACCAGACUGAGAAGUCCUUUAUCACGAGGAUUCGUUUUUGGAGGCUGUCUGGAUUUUAACCUGCACUUGAUAUAAGCAAUAAAUAUUGUGGUUUUAUGGACAUUAUUACUGGAAAGAAAAUGACCUUUAAGUAAUGCGUGUAAUGUAUAAUGUACUGUUCACAUGGGCAUCAACAUUUUAUAUUCUUAACCAUUGCAGGGUAAAUAUAUUUUAUAAGUACCUAUUUAAUCUUACUUUUAUAGUUAAAUGUACUUUUUAAAAGCUCAAUUUGAAAAAAUAUCUGUUACCACAAAAAAAAAUAAUAAAGUGUAUGUUGAUUCAAUUGUACUGGAUACAUUUUCCUGAAGAAAAGUUUGAUAUGAGCAGGUAGAACUCUGAAUAAGCAAUUUUUACUAUAUAUUUGCAUUUCUUUUAUGUUUUACAGUUUUCCCAAUUUUAAAAAGAAAAAGAAACAAAAAUUUUCUCUAAAAAUAUCUUUGAAGGAAAAUUCUCCUUACUGGCGUAGUCAGGCCAAGAUUGACAGACACCUAAAUAUUCAUGACUUGAGAAUGUUCUGCAGCUAUAAAUUUUGAACCAUUGAUGUGCAAAGCAAGACCUGAAGCCCACUCCGGAAACUUAGUGAGGCUUGAUAAGCCUGUAGAUUGCCUCACAUUUGUCUGUUUACAAAGUAAACCUUACAUCCAGGGAACGAAGAACACCACCAGCAGAAGACUUUGCAGAACACUUUCAUUUGAUGCAUUGUUAAGUUUUUUAAUGCGUGUGUGAAAUGUAGAGAGAUGUAAAAGAAAUGAAUUAGGAAAGACUACUUUGUAUUGUACUGCCAUUCCUACUGUAUUUUUAUACUUUUUGGCAGCAUUAAAUAUUUUUAUUAAAUAG
Molecule: non-coding RNA, 2472 nt
Organism: Kogia breviceps (pygmy sperm whale)
Lineage: Eukaryota; Metazoa; Chordata; Mammalia; Artiodactyla; Physeteridae
Source: RefSeq, a predicted model, not a curated record